GAAACAAAUAAAGAAAAAUGGGGAGGUAAUUAAAGUAGUAGAGGCUCCAUGAAAGUUAGACCUUUAUAUAAAUCCCAUCUUCAUGAUUUUGGGGUAACACGAAAUUUUUUAAAAAAUUAAUAAAAUUUUGCAGCUUUUAUUGAUUUCGUUGCUGGUCUCAUUUCGAAAGGGUAGAAAAUCUCCAGUUGCCUGGGUACCACUACCAGCGCAGGAGAAACUAGAAAGGAUAGAAAAUCUUCAGAUCGAAGCGACAGAGAAGCAAUAAACGUGCGGCAUGAGAGCCAUGCCGCGAAGAGAUGACCGAGAUUCCGAGCGGGCGAGACGAUAGAAAAUUGGUGAAAGGAAAAAGGUCGGUGAAAAAAUUGGAAUCCUUGAAUUAGUCAACAAUCUACGAACCCCCAACUUGCGCGUUCGGUGAGAGAGAGAGAGGCAGGGGGAGGAGUUAGAGUGAUAGAUGGUUUUUUAUUUCGGUCAGAGGAAAAUCCAGAGGACUGCAGAUUAGGAAAUUGGGGAUUCCCGAAAAAGCAACAGGCAGAACCGGGUAAAACCCUCUUGUGAGAAUUUGUGUACAUGAGGAAAGUUACGCCAAAGGUGGAUGUAUUCAGCUUUGGUAUGAUAGUGAUAGAGUUCUUAACUAAACGGAGGCCAACGGGGCUAAUCCAAGAUGAUGGUUUGCCAAUUACUCUGCAUCAACUGGUGGAGGAAACCCUUCGGUGUGGAAUGAAUCGACUUAUUGAAAUUGUAGAUGUGGAUCUCGCUUCAAACAUUUCCGAUGAGAAGCAUGCCAAAAUAAUUGAAAAACUCUUUGAACUAGCAUUGUCAUGCACCUGUCAAGAGCCUAAGGAUCGACCACGUAUGUGUGAAGUAUUAUCUUUCUUAUCGAUGCUAAAAGCUGCAUGUAGUGGUGUGAGAUGGGACCAAAGCCAUGAAACAAUAAGCUAGCAUUCUAGUAACACAGAGAAGAUAGAAAACUCACUAUUGAAUUUGUUGUUGCUCAUCCUUUUUGGGCUGGGCUAUUGAAUGUUUAUGCAAGAGGCAUGCUUUAUUUAUACUACAAUUUAACCUCAUGAUUUAACA
Molecule: long non-coding RNA, 1077 nt
Organism: Malania oleifera
Lineage: Eukaryota; Viridiplantae; Streptophyta; Magnoliopsida; Santalales; Ximeniaceae
Exons: 2
Source: RefSeq, a predicted model, not a curated record